CUGAGAAGGAGGACAAGGCUUUCUACAAGAAGAUGUUGGAAUGAAAGUGGAGGUCCUGCCGAGUCUCAUGGUGAACAUCAAAGGCCUCAGGGCAAAACCAGGUGUCAGGCCAGUAUGAGACAGGAAAGACAAGGGAGAGACAGGGGAUGGCGUGCAGCAAAGGGCCCAGGCUGGAUUCGAAUCCGGGCCGCUGCGUGCAGACCUUUGACUUCAAAGCUCUUGUGCCUCACCUGGACGGCAGGAUGCCAGCCCGUCCAUCCAGAGACCAGCUCGCUUCUCCCUCCCAGAACUUGCUGAAGGCCGGUGACAACCAACCAACUCUGAGAGAAAGAAACCUUCUACAAGAAGCCUGCUCAACGUCUGUUUUCUAAUACAACAAAAGUUAGAACAGAAGAAACGGGGUGUGUGAUGAUUUGUCUGCAGGGAGAGUGAGACGGCCGACUCAAGCUGAAUUCGUCACGUGGGACUGACAAUGCCCAAAACUUCCCGAACUCCUGGGAGCUCCACAAGAAGGAAAGGAAAUCAGCUAGCCAAGCUGCUACGUGGGACUGAGCGGGCCACACAGGAGAACACAGAUCAUCCGCUGCCCUACCCUUCCAGCUCAACUUGUCCUCAGGCUAUCUAAACCACUAGGUGAAACUUAAUUUUUUUUCUGUGAUAUUUGAGUUUGAUGCUACAAAGUACUAAAAAGUAAUUUAGCGUUAGACCAGGAGUAAGAUCUCCCUUCAAUAUAAUCACGAUAUGGAAUCGUAAAAUAUUUCACAAGUGCUUCCCAAAACCUCUCAGCUGCUGAACAAUGCAUUAUGGUGAAUUUCACUGGUCAUCAUUAAAGUUGUAUCCACUGUCACAUGCUUCCACAAAUUAAGACAUCUUACCAUCAUUCUCCGCUUUAUCUGGUAUACACUGGUCCUCAUUCAGUUAUUAAUUGUUCAUCGCUGUAUUCAUAACAUUUACUCAUGGUUGCAUUUAUCCAUUCAUUUGUGUGUCUAGCAGUUAUGUGUGUGUUGUUAGUAGAGUAAUA
Long non-coding RNA from Siniperca chuatsi (mandarin fish), 1021 nucleotides. RefSeq lists it as uncharacterized. NCBI's taxonomy places the organism in Eukaryota, Metazoa, Chordata, Actinopteri, Centrarchiformes, Sinipercidae. The transcript is spliced from 3 exons. The record is from RefSeq and is a predicted model, not a curated record.